This 429-nucleotide ribosomal RNA is filed under the name Pseudomonadota bacterium. Its description in RNAcentral is "Proteobacteria bacterium partial 16S ribosomal RNA". It matches the Rfam family "Bacterial small subunit ribosomal RNA", at positions 355 to 776 of the family's 1533-position model. Lineage: Bacteria; Pseudomonadati; Pseudomonadota. The record is from RNAcentral.
UGGGGAAUAUUGGACAAUGGGCGAAAGCCUGAUCCAGCCAUGCCGCGUGUGUGAAGACGGUCUUCGGAUUGUAAAGCACUUUAAGUUGGGAGGAAGGGCAGUAAGCGAAUACCUUGCUGUUUUGACGUUACCGACAGAAUAAGCACCGGCUAACUCUGUGCCAGCAGCCGCGGUAAUACAGAGGGUGCAAGCGUUAAUCGGAAUUACUGGGCGUAAAGCGCGCGUAGGUGGUUCGUUAAGUUGAAUGUGAAAGCCCCGGGCUCAACCUGGGAACUGCAGCCAAAACUGGCGAGCUAGGGUAGGGCAGAGGGUGGUGGAAUUUCCUGUGUAGCGGUGAAAUGCGUAGAUAUAGGAAGGAACACCAGUGGCGAAGGCGACCACCUGGGCUCAUACUGACACUGAGGUGCGAAAGCGUGGGGAGCAAACAGG